AUUGAACGCUGGCGGCAGGCCUAACACAUGCAAGUCGAACGGUAGCACAGAGAGCUUGCUCUCGGGUGACGAGUGGCGGACGGGUGAGUAACGUCUGGGAAACUGCCCGAUAGAGGGGGAUAACCACUGGAAACGGUGGCUAAUACCGCAUAACGUCGCAAGACCAAAGAGGGGGACCUUCGGGCCUCCCACUAUCGGAUGAACCCAGAUGGGAUUAGCUAGUAGGCGGGGUAACGGCCCACCUAGGCGACGAUCCCUAGCUGGUCUGAGAGGAUAACCAGCCAGACUGGAACUGAGACACGGUCCAGACUCCUACGGGAGGCAGCAGUGGGGAAUAUUGCACAAUGGGCGCAAGCCUGAUGCAGCCAUGCCGCGUGUAUGAAGAAGGCCUUCGGGUUGUAAAGUACUUUCAGCGGGGAGGAAGGCGAUGUGGUUAAUAACCGCAUUGAUUGACGUUACCCGCGGAAGAAGCACCGGCUAACUCCGUGCCAGCCGCCGCCGUAA
This 504-nucleotide ribosomal RNA is filed under the name uncultured bacterium. Its description in RNAcentral is "partial 16S ribosomal RNA". It matches the Rfam family "Bacterial small subunit ribosomal RNA", at positions 29 to 523 of the family's 1533-position model. The record is from RNAcentral.